UUCAUAGCUUUGCAGCAGACUUCUUCAACUCGCCAUGACAAACGAAGCUGCAUUUAACACAGCUGCAAGUGAACUCAUCAUGAGAAUCUUCUUCCGUGCUGCAGUCUGUGCUGAAGAUACACACACCAUCGUAUCAGUAGCACAGUUUGAUGUUCUGCUUGUUCAUCUGACGGACACGUUAACGCCGACUGCGCUCCCGUUUCUGUGAAGGUCCAGCAUGAGACACAACUUGAAUCCAACCAGACUGAACACUGACUCCUGGGACAGACGAGCCUGAAGGACACAGCUGUGAUGACCAUGUUCUGUCUCUUAUGGCAAAGCAGAAAUAUUAAACACUGGGUUGACCAGCACGAAGCUGCAGAUCUCCACCAUGUUGCUGCUGAGGACAUCAAGUGCUGCAGUUCUUCAUCUAUGAAGAGAAAAAACGCACUGUUAAAGAAUGUUUUGUGUUGUUUAUGAAGAACAACAGAUUUCAGAUAGAACCGUUGUACUGUGGUCUUGGUUUGUAUCCUCAUGGUUAAAUGUACAUAUUUUAAGUCCCUUCUGAUAAAACUACUGAAAGAAAUACAACAUUGUACAAAUAGAUAAAAUGUCUUUCUACCUCAUCUGUAAUAUUCGAGGUGAUAAUCUCCCACAGAGCUAUUGAUAACAGUCCACAUCAAGUCUCUCCACUUCCCUCAGUGUGAAAACAUGAUUAUAUAAUUAAUUUGAGAACUGUUAACAACACUGAUGUGUGGACAUUACAAUUAAACUAAACUGUCUAAUUCACUGUAAAACUCCAUGACUGGCUAAAUAAACGAGGUGGGAAUAGUAAUGGUGGAUAUACCAGCCUGUAACAGAAUAAUGGUGAAACAUAGUUACUAUCACAUGCAACUUACACGUGUAGCAUCUUGAUAUUAACGUAUUAAAAUAAAAAAUAACGUCACA
Molecule: long non-coding RNA, 927 nt
Organism: Platichthys flesus (European flounder)
Lineage: Eukaryota; Metazoa; Chordata; Actinopteri; Pleuronectiformes; Pleuronectidae
Exons: 3
Source: RefSeq, a predicted model, not a curated record